Molecule: long non-coding RNA, 614 nt
Organism: Poeciliopsis prolifica (blackstripe livebearer)
Lineage: Eukaryota; Metazoa; Chordata; Actinopteri; Cyprinodontiformes; Poeciliidae
Exons: 4
Source: RefSeq, a predicted model, not a curated record
AUGUAAUUUAUAAAGUUUUGUCAUGGUUGGGCUGGAAAUAUGGCCCUAUGGGUGGGAGCUGCGUCAGUUGGUGUUCCUGGCUAACUAUUCAGUCAUGACGCUAACUGUGUCUUUUUGUUUUUCAGCUGAGGGGCCACUCGCAGGCAGUGACAUUUUGAAGAUUUGUCUUUUUUUUCAUCAUUCUAGAAGAGUCCAUAAACUGGCAUCCAUUAAUGGUCAUGGAUACUGAGAUACAGCAGCAAAAAAUAAAUGUCGAGUUGUUUGUUGACCUGAAGAAAGAUGAAGAUCAAGUAUGCAGAUACCUGAACCCACAGUAUGGUGGAGAAAAAGGGACAAAGAUUGGAACAAACUGUGUGAGAGGCCAAGAUCAACAAGAAAUCAAUUACCUAAGAAUACUGAUCACUGAGUGAGACAACGUGUUGCUCUGGUGGUUGAGGGUUGCUUCAUCUCUGGUUGGAUCACACCCUGAGAGAGAGGCAGCAGAGAGGAGGAAGUGAUAAAGUGGAUAAGAUGACAGUGGAACAUGUGUGUUUUGGAAGGAGGAUGAAUCAGGUCCAACAUGGAUGCAAACAGUUUUACUACUCUUAAAUGAAAGCAUGAAGUCGGGAUUUACA